RNAcentral lists this ribosomal RNA (503 nucleotides) under uncultured Eubacteriales bacterium. Its description in RNAcentral is "uncultured Clostridiales bacterium partial 16S ribosomal RNA". The record is from RNAcentral. Lineage: Bacteria; Bacillati; Bacillota; Clostridia; Eubacteriales.
CACGUAGUUAGCCGGGGCUUCUUACUCAGGUACCGUCAUUUUCUUCCCUGCUGAUAGAGCUUUACGUAACGAAUUACUUCUUCACUCACGCGGCGCCGCUGCAUCAGGGUUUCCCCCAUUGUGCAAUAUUCCCCACUGCUGCCUCCCGUAGGAGUCUGGGCCGUGUCUCAGUCCCAAUGUGGCCGUCCGCCCUCUCAGGCCGGCUACUGAUCGUCGCCUUGGUGGGCCGUUACCCCGCCAACAAGCUAAUCAGACGCGGGUCCAUCUUACACCACCGGAGUUUUUCACACCGCUUCAUGCGAAGCUGUGCGCUUAUGCGGUUUUAGCACCUAUUUCUAAGUGUUAUCCCCCUGUGUAAGGCAGGUUACCCACGCGUUACUCACCCGUCCGCCACUAACCCAUAUACUCACCAGGUUUCAAUAUGGGUCCGUUCGACUUGCAUGUAGUACGCGACGCCACGACGUCGUACUACUCUGACACGAGACUACAACUCUGUACGACGU